RNAcentral lists this unclassified non-coding RNA (268 nucleotides) under Hevea brasiliensis (rubber tree). The record is from RNAcentral. Lineage: Eukaryota; Viridiplantae; Streptophyta; Magnoliopsida; Malpighiales; Euphorbiaceae.
GAGCAGUGCUGCAAGACCCAUUUGAAACCUAGCUAUAUUGCUAAGGUUAAAACAGCUUUCUCUCCAUGCACCUAGUCCUCACCUGGUAGCCAUCCUCUCCUUCCUCCAUUUUUUAUCUUUGCCUCCCACUUUAAUUCUCCCAUUAAACCAUUUCAAGAAAGCUUCCACUUAAAUCAUUCCUUCCUCCCACACUUCUUUUUCGUUCUUUGUUAUUCAGUACCUCAAUCCCACAUGCAAAGCCACAUCUCUUCGGAUAAUAUUGUGUCGG